UCUCCUUCCGCACAGCUCCUACCUGAAACCCUAAACCCUAAAGUCUGGAACUUCAUAUCUUGCUUUUCGCGCGAAUUGCCCGUCCCAGAUUUACCAAGUCAGGUGAUUCACAGGAUUUAGUAAAUCGGAAUUACGGCCGAAAUCAGUAAAGUAUUGACCGUCUGGCAGGAUUUAGGUCAAGUCCAGGUUAAAUCCUGCUCUAAUCCUACCAGACAGCCGCCCCUCAAAGUAACUCGCAAAGCCUGCCUAGAAAGCUCAUCUCUGGCAAUCCCCGGUCUGCACGGCCUCUGUUCUUUGGAGACCCACAGGUAGUCAGCCACGCAUUUUACAGCCAGAGCAACAUUUAAUCCUCCUCUCAUUUCUAGCCCCUCAUGCUCAAUCUGGUCCCUUUUUUUUCCCACGAAUUUCAAGGCUCGUUGGUUUAGGACCUACUAAAAUUAUGGUUUUUGUGGAUCGUUACUCGGUGUGGACUCGCUGGGAUGUAUAUUUCGUACCAAAGAUAUGAUUUUUGCAUUUAUUUCAAGUUGAGAAUCUUUGUUUUCAGGUUAAUUUUUGUCGGCUGCAUAAAUUAUAUCCUUUGCCAUGAAAGAUGAAAGUUUCAUCACACCAUUCUUUGUUUUUGAGAACAAAGAGGCGAUCUUUCAGAUGGAAAUUCUUAGGCUCUGUCGUCGAAGGUGCAUCAAUACGCGGCCUCCAUAGCGUAGAGCAUUUUGCCAGCACUUUCCGAACUUGUGAAGAUAUCAGAUUUCUCAGAAAGCUUCAUGGAAGCAUUCUUUCUCAUGGGCUGGGCGAAAACAUAUUUCUGGGAUCUAAAUUAUUGAACUGCUAUGCAAACUUUGGAGGAUUAUGUGAGUCAAGGUUAGUGUUUGCUAAGAUCGUUAACAGAAAUCUUUCGCUCUGGAACUCUGCCAUUGUUGGGUAUCACAGAGCUGGCCAGUUUUCCGAAGUUCUUUUCUUAUAUAAAAAUUUAAAAUUUAAUGGGCUUGGAUUUGAUAGUUCAACCAUAACAUUUAGUUUGAAGGGUAGCACUGAGCUUGGUAGUUUGGAAAUUGGACAAUCCAUCCAUGUUGAUGCUCUCAAAACCGGUUUAAACACAGAUAAGUUUGUUGGUUCUUCUUUGGUUGGAUUAUACUCCAGAUGUGGACUAACUGAUGAUGGUCAUGAGGCCUUUGAGGAGAUCUUUGAUAAGGAUAUCAUUGCCUAUACCGCCAUGGUUACUGGCUAUGCUCGCCUUCCUGCUAAAAUGGCUUUCAGAAUUGCUUCUGUUAUGCAGAGAGAAGGUUUAUCUGCGAAUCGUGUAACAUUAGUUAGCCUGCUGCAGGUAGCAGGACAACUAGAAGAGCUUAGAAAAGGUCAAGCAAUUCACUGCUAUGCUUUGAGGAGAGGGAUUGAUCCAUCAGAUGAAGCUCUGCAAACCGCCAUUAUCGACAUGUAUGCUAGGUGCGGAGCUUUGCUUUCAGCUUCAUCCUUGUUGGGGCGAACGGAAAGAACCUGCCUUGCUUCAUGGAAUGCCAUGAUUUCUGGCCUCAUUCAGUGGGGAAAGAGUGACGAGGCAUUGCAGAUUUUCAAAACUUUUGAGAAAGAAUCAAAAUUUAUCCCUGAUUCGAUCACCUUAUCGAACAUACUUGCCGCAUGCGCCGAUACCGGGUGUCUUCAUCAAGUCAGAGAUGUCCAUUGUUACCUUUUAAGAAGAUUAAUUUCACCUGAUUUAGUUGUCGUCACUUCCCUUGUCAAUUUGUACUCCGAAUGUGGCAAAAUACAGUAUGCACGGAAGUUGUUUGAUGAAAUGUUAGUAAGAGACACCGUAUUGUAUAAUGUUAUUCUCUCUGGAUAUCUACAUGCCAAAAAGAUCGAUGUCGCGAUUACUUUGUUUAAGAGAAUGUUUGAAGAAGGUAUCGAUCCUAAUUUCAUGACGAUGGUGAGUUUUCUUUCCACAUUCUCUGAUAUAAGUUACAUUAAACUUGGCAAGUGGGUGCAUGGAUUCAUAUUAAGAUAUGGUUUCGAUUCAAUUUUAGAUGUUGUUAACAUGAUUCUUCACAUGUAUGUUGAAUGGGGAUUUAUUAAUACCGCAAACAUCAUUUUUGAAUCUAUGUUGAAGAAAGAUUUAGUUUCGUGGACAAUAAUGAUGAUGAAUUAUGCCGACCAAGGUCAUGUAGAUAAGGUUCUUACGUUGUUUCAACUAAUGCUGCGAGCGCGAGAAAAGCCUGAUUCUGUCAUUCUUAUCACAUUACUCAAAGCACAUAUGGAACUCGGAGGAGUGCUAAAAGUGAAGGAAAUCCAUGGCUAUAUCUAUCGAAUUCUUCUAAACAAAGACAUCGCGACCAUGAAUUCCGUCAUCAUCGCUUACGCAAAAUGUGGAAGGUUAGAUAUGGCCGGCGCUGUAUUUGAUUGUAUCAGGAACAAAAAUGUGACCUCAUGGAACACAAUGAUUGCUUGUUACGGUGUUCACGGAUGCGCCGACAAGGUCUUAAAGCUAUUCUAUGAAAUGCAAGAGCAAAACCUAAGCCCCGACGGGAUGACGUACACGUCGGUGCUCUCUGCGUGCAGCCAUUGUGGGCUGGUCGAAGAAGGUUGGCGCGUGUUCAAAAUCCUGAAUGCGGAUGAUUCCAUUUCGCCCUCAGAAGAGCAUUAUAACUGCAUGGUGGAUUUGCUGGGUAGGGCGGGUCAACUCGAAGAAGCUUAUGACUUGGUUAAGAAGUUUUCAUUGAACGAGAGGAUCAAUGCACUGUGUGCUUUGCUUAGUGCUUGUAAAUUUCAUAAAAAUAUGAAAAUUGGAGAGGUUGUUUGCAAGGAAAUUUUGGAGAUACAACCCCAUAAUCCAGGUAUUUAUUCAUUGGUCUCCAACUUAUAUUCUGAGGCUAGUAUGUGGAACAAUGCCACAAGUCUGAGAAAGAAGGCUAGAAGGAAAGGUUUGAGGAAAACUCCGGGUUUUAGCGUACUAAACAUGGAUGAAUAUAUGGUGGGGAUUUGAAUGGAAUUACUGAAACUUCUCCAAGCAUCAUUUCGGAGGAAGCAGUGCAAGCUUGAGUUCAUCAAAAGUUUCUUCUGUGUUGCUUAAGGGUUCAUUCAACACAUUAAUAUAAUUUGGAAGGAGAUGAAUGGCCUGAGGCUAUUAUACGAGCCUCGACCAUUCCCAAUGUGCCUAACAAUUCAAGUACCACACCCUCCAC
This is an RNA transcript of Phalaenopsis equestris, 3170 nucleotides long. It is a transcript of the gene named pentatricopeptide repeat-containing protein At1g06140, mitochondrial-like, with no coding region annotated. The transcript is spliced from 2 exons. Lineage: Eukaryota; Viridiplantae; Streptophyta; Magnoliopsida; Asparagales; Orchidaceae. The record is from RefSeq and is a predicted model, not a curated record.